This 427-nucleotide ribosomal RNA is filed under the name uncultured bacterium. Its description in RNAcentral is "partial 16S ribosomal RNA". It matches the Rfam family "Bacterial small subunit ribosomal RNA", at positions 355 to 774 of the family's 1533-position model. The record is from RNAcentral.
UAGGGAAUCUUCGGCAAUGGACGAAAGUCUGACCGAGCAACGCCGCGUGAGUGAAGAAGGUUUUCGGAUCGUAAAACUCUGUUGGUAGAGAAGAACGUUGGUGAGAGUGGAAAGCUCAUCAAGUGACGGUAACUACCCAGAAAGGGACGGCUAACUACGUGCCAGCAGCCGCGGUAAUACGUAGGUCCCGAGCGUUGUCCGGAUUUAUUGGGCGUAAAGCGAGCGCAGGUGGUUUAUUAAGUCUGGUGUAAAAGGCAGUGGCUCAACCAUUGUAUGCAUUGGAAACUUGUAGACUUGAGUGCAGGAGAGGAGAGUGGAAUUCCAUGUGUAGCGGUGAAAUGCGUAGAUAUAUGGAGGAACACCGGAGGCGAAAGCGGCUCUCUGGCCUGUAACUGACACUGAGGCUCGAAAGCGUGGGGAGCAAACA